UGGCCAAUUAUUUAUCUCUGU
Molecule: non-coding RNA, 21 nt
Filed under: Caenorhabditis elegans
Lineage: Eukaryota; Metazoa; Nematoda; Chromadorea; Rhabditida; Rhabditidae
Source: RNAcentral